Molecule: ribosomal RNA, 464 nt
Filed under: uncultured fungus
Lineage: Eukaryota; Fungi
Description: SSU rRNA
Rfam family: Eukaryotic small subunit ribosomal RNA
Source: RNAcentral
AUAAUAACUUACGAAUCGCAUGAGCCUUGUGCCGGCGAUGGUUCAUUCAAAUUUCUGCCCUAUCAACUUUCGAUGGUAGAGUAGUGGUCUACCAUGGUUUCAACGGGUAACGGGGAAUUAGGGUUCUAUUCCGGAGAGGGAGCCUGAGAAACGGUACCACAUCCAAGGAAGGCAGCAGGCGCGCAAAUUACCCAAUCCCGACACGGGGAGGUAGUGACAAUAAAUACUGAUACAGGGGCUCUUUUGGGUCUUGUAAUUGGAAUGAGUACAAUUUAAAUCCCUUAACGAGGAACAAUUGGAGGGCAAGUCUGGUGCCAGCAGCCGCGGUAAUUCCAGCUCCAAUAGCGUAUAUUAAAGUUGUUGCAGUUAAAAGCUCGUAGUUGAACCUUGGGCCUGGCUGGCCGGUCCGGCUCAACGGUGCACUGGUCCGGCCGGGCCUUUCCUUCUUGGGGAGCCCGAUGCCC